AUGUUGUGUGCUAGGGAAUCCUAUCUGAGCCAAAUUGAAGAACCAUUGCCAUGUUCAUCCAAAGUGAAAGAUACAAGAGCCAUUGGGGAUCUUCUAAGAGAUUGUUUGAUUAUGUUGAUUGCUUGAGCUUACACUCAUUUUGCUUGCAUAUUCCAAAGGAUGAGAGCUACUUGGAUCAUCAAUAUAAUCUCAAUAGAGGAACUCUAUUUGUGGUCUUGUUUCUUAUCCUUCAUCUCUUGUAUGAUUAGGACUUUAG
RNAcentral lists this long non-coding RNA (256 nucleotides) under Lathyrus oleraceus (garden pea). RNAcentral's name for it is "Pisum sativum (pea) long non-coding RNA (PSAT_LNC032000)". The record is from RNAcentral. Lineage: Eukaryota; Viridiplantae; Streptophyta; Magnoliopsida; Fabales; Fabaceae.